This is a long non-coding RNA of Homo sapiens (human), 990 nucleotides long. Ensembl annotates it as mir-99a-let-7c cluster host gene. Its record names the gene MIR99AHG. The record is from Ensembl. Lineage: Eukaryota; Metazoa; Chordata; Mammalia; Primates; Hominidae.
ACGCAACUGUUGCUUUUUCAUGCAUGUUUUUAAGCGUCACACUGAGCCUGGAAGUUAACACAGAAUCAGAUCAAUCUUCAGGAAUUUUACUGGGAUAAUUAUCCAAAUAAAUUGCAAGCAUUCUAUCCAAAUGGACAUCCAUAAAAAUUCAUCAGAGAGCAUUUUACUACUGAGCUGCAAAGGUAGGAAAAAUAAAUUUUUUUUGGUUAGAAAAUAUACUUCUUUCAUCUGCGUUUCAAUAAUUUAUUCCCCUUGUUAGAUAUACAUGGAAUUGAUAUUGCUUAUUCUGACUAAGUGAAAAGUGUUAUUUCUACUUACUGCUCAAUUAGAAACAUGUAGUGUUUAAUUGUCAGUUUGAAUUUUUCUUUCAUACUAUUACAGUUUAUAUUUUACUAUAGGCAGAAUUUCCUCUUUAUCCUAAAUUUUGAUAUUCUCCAUAAUUUCAUCGUGCCUUGACAUUGCUGUAUAUAAUUUCUAUACAUCAGGAAGGCAAUUCUGUGUGCAUGUGUGUGUGUAUAUAUAUAGUUAGAAGUUAGAAACUGAAACUCUUUUUUGUCUACCAUCAUUUCAUAUUUUUCUUGCUAUUUCAAACCUAUAAUUUUUAAAGAAACGACUAACGUAAUCAUUCAUAGAAUAUGCUGUCAGUAACUUAACAAUAUAAAUGUUAACAUGGAGGCAUUUAGUUCAGCAUUUGCUUUACUUAAUAGAGUGCAGAAAAUGUGGCCCUUUUCUCAGUUAGGGUGUAUGUGAAGAUAAAUUUAGAAUUUCUAGACUAGUAAAUACUUCUCUGAUAAUAACUUAAUUAUAGCUAUUUCAAACCAAAUUGUUUAAUUGUGGUGAAUCAUAUGUAAAUUGUUCAGAUGUAGGUCAACACCCACGCCCACAUUCUAGCACCUCUUUCCUAAUUCAAGACAACUUUGCAGUGCCUAAAAGAGCUGAACAGUGCAGAUUAGAGACAUAAGACAAAAAAAAAAAAAAAACACAAAACAA